RNAcentral lists this ribosomal RNA (253 nucleotides) under uncultured bacterium. Its description in RNAcentral is "partial 16S ribosomal RNA". It matches the Rfam family "Bacterial small subunit ribosomal RNA", at positions 524 to 776 of the family's 1533-position model. The record is from RNAcentral.
UACGAAGGGGGCUAGCGUUGUUCGGAAUUACUGGGCGUAAAGCGCACGUAGGCGGGUUUGUAAGUAGAGGGUGAAAUCCCAGGGCUCAACUCUGGAACUGCCUUCUAGACUGCAAGCCUGGAGGUCAGGAGAGGCGAGUGGAAUACCGAGUGUAGAGGUGAAAUUCGUAGAUAUUCGGUGGAACACCAGUGGCGAAGGCGACUCGCUGGACUGAUACUGACGCUGAGGUGCGAAAGCGUGGGGAGCAAACAGG